AAGCUUUUUCUAUAUCCUUAACUGAUUCUAUUUGAAUUAAAAUUGGUUGGUUUAAUUUGAGUUCAAAUGGGUUUGAAUUUGAAUGAAAACCUAGAGUCCAAAUUGAGUUGGAUUCUCCUCUUCACACCACCAUCUUUCUCCAUGCAUAAAGUAUUUUUGUAUGAGAUUUUUGUACCAUUCUGAUAUUGGUCAUGUUGGGUUCCAGUGGUG
RNAcentral lists this long non-coding RNA (210 nucleotides) under Elaeis guineensis (African oil palm). RNAcentral describes it as "long non-coding RNA (EGUI_LNC078685)". Lineage: Eukaryota; Viridiplantae; Streptophyta; Magnoliopsida; Arecales; Arecaceae. The record is from RNAcentral.